Molecule: long non-coding RNA, 137 nt
Organism: Mustela erminea (ermine)
Lineage: Eukaryota; Metazoa; Chordata; Mammalia; Carnivora; Mustelidae
Exons: 4
Source: RefSeq, a predicted model, not a curated record
UAAAGAUUUCCUGGCUCAUCUUUUUAUGGUGUUUGACACUCUGGUGACUGCUUCUAUCUUUAGGGUGGAGAAAAAGCCUUUUGUGAGGAAGACAAUGCAUCAGAGUUGUGGCCACUAUUACCAACUGUGUCCUUCAG